GAAUGGCCAUUCUUAGUUGGUGGAGCAAUUUGUCUGGUUAAUUCCCAUAACGAACGAGACUCUGGCAUGCUAACUAGUUUUGCGACCCCUGAGCGGUUGAAGUCCAACUUCAUAGAAGGCCAAGUGGCAUUCAGCCACCUGAGAUUGAGCAAUAACAGGUCUGUGAU
Molecule: non-coding RNA, 167 nt
Filed under: Alligator mississippiensis (American alligator)
Lineage: Eukaryota; Metazoa; Chordata; Crocodylia; Alligatoridae
Description: Eukaryotic small subunit ribosomal RNA
Rfam family: Eukaryotic small subunit ribosomal RNA
Source: Rfam by way of RNAcentral